UUCCGUAGGUGAAACCUGCGGAGGGAUCAUUACACAAUAAAAUACGAAGGCCGUUCGCGGCUGGCUGGACUAUUUAUUACCCUUGUCUUUUGCGCACUUGUUGUUUCCUGGGCGGGUUCGCUCGCCACCAGGACCACAAUAUAAACCUUUUUUAUGCAGUUGCAAUCAGCGUCAGUAUAACAAAUGUAAAUCAUUUACAACUUUCAACAACGGAUCUCUUGGUUCUGGCAUCGAUGAAGAACGCAGCGAAAUGCGAUACGUAGUGUGAAUUGCAGAAUUCAGUGAAUCAUCGAAUCUUUGAACGCACAUUGCGCCCUUUGGUAUUCCAAAGGGCAUGCCUGUUCGAGCGUCAUUUGUACCCUCAAGCUUUGCUUGGUGUUGGGCGUUUUUGUCCCCCCCAAAAGGGGGACUCGCCUUAAAAGGAUUGGCAGCCGGCCUACUGGUUUCGCAGCGCAGCACAUUUUUGCGCUUGCAAUCAGCAAAAGAGGACGGCAAUCCAUCAAGACUCCUUCUCACGUUUGACCUCGGAUCAGGUAGGGAUACCCGCUGAACUUAAGCAUAUCAAUAAGCGGAGGA
This 576-nucleotide ribosomal RNA is filed under the name Bipolaris sorokiniana. RNAcentral's name for it is "eukaryotic LSU rRNA". The stretch from base 199 to 352 matches the Rfam family "5.8S ribosomal RNA". Lineage: Eukaryota; Fungi; Ascomycota; Dothideomycetes; Pleosporales; Pleosporaceae. The record is from RNAcentral.